GACGAACGCUGGCGGCGUGCUUAACACAUGCAAGUCGAGCGGUAAGGCCCUUUGGGGUACACGAGCGGCGAACGGGUGAGUAACACGUGGGUGACCUGCCUUCAGCUUCGGGAUAAGCCUGGGAAACUGGGUCUAAUACCGGAUAGGACCUUCUCCUGCAUGGGGGUUGGUGGAAAGUUUUUUCGGCUGGAGAUGGGCCCGCGGCCUAUCAGCUUGUUGGUGGGGUGAUGGCCUACCAAGGCGACGACGGGUAGCCGGCCUGAGAGGGCGACCGGCC
RNAcentral lists this ribosomal RNA (277 nucleotides) under uncultured bacterium. RNAcentral describes it as "partial 16S ribosomal RNA". It matches the Rfam family "Bacterial small subunit ribosomal RNA", at positions 28 to 309 of the family's 1533-position model. The record is from RNAcentral.